GAGUUUGAUCCUGGCUCAGGACGAACGCUGGCGGCGUGCUUAACACAUGCAAGUCGAGCGAUGAAGCUCCUUCGGGAGUGGAUUAGCGGCGGACGGGUGAGUAACACGUGGGUAACCUGCCUCAUAGAGGGGAAUAGCCUUCCGAAAGGAAGAUUAAUACCGCAUAAGAUUGUAGUUUCGCAUGAAACAGCAAUUAAAGGAGUAAUCCGCUAUGAGAUGGACCCGCGUCGCAUUAGCUAGUUGGUGAGGUAACGGCCCACCAAGGCGACGAUGCGUAGCCGACCUGAGAGGGUGAUCGGCCACAUUGGGACUGAGACACGGCCCAGACUCCUACGGGAGGCAGCAGUGGGGAAUAUUGCACAAUGGGGGAAACCCUGAUGCAGCAACGCCGCGUGAGUGAUGAAGGUCUUCGGAUUGUAAAACUCUGUCUUCAGGGACGAUAAUGACGGUACCUGAGGAGGAAGCCACGACUAACUACGUGCCAGCAGCCGCGGUAAUACGUAGGUGGCAAGCGUUGUCCGGAUUUACUGGGCGUAAAGGGAGCGUAGGUGGAUAUUUAAGUGGGAUGUGAAAUACUCGGGCUUAACCUGAGUGCUGCAUU
RNAcentral lists this ribosomal RNA (601 nucleotides) under uncultured bacterium. RNAcentral's name for it is "bacterial SSU rRNA". It matches the Rfam family "Bacterial small subunit ribosomal RNA", at positions 9 to 627 of the family's 1533-position model. The record is from RNAcentral.